GACGAACGCUGGCGGCGUGCUUAACACAUGCAAGUCGAACGGAAAGGCCCUGCUUUUGUGGGGUGCUCGAGUGGCGAACGGGUGAGUAACACGUGAGUAACCUGCCCUUGACUUUGGGAUAACUUCAGGAAACUGGGGCUAAUACCGGAUAGGAGCUCCUGCUGCAUGGUGGGGGUUAGAAAGUUUCGGCGGUUGGGGAUGGACUCGCGGCUUAUCAGCUUGUUGGUGGGGUAGUGGUUUACCACGGCUUUGACGGGUAGCCGGCCUGAGAGGGUGGCCGGCGACCUUGGGCCUGCGAGACGGCCCAGACUCCUACGGGCGGCAGCAGUGGGGAAUCUUGCACAAUGGGCGGACGCCUGAUGCAGCAACGCUGCGUGCGUGAUGACGGCCUUCGGGUUGUAAACCGCUUUCGCCUGUGACGAAGCGUGAGUGACGGUAAUGGGUAAAGAAGCACCGGCUAACUACGUG
This 468-nucleotide ribosomal RNA is filed under the name uncultured bacterium. Its description in RNAcentral is "partial 16S ribosomal RNA". It matches the Rfam family "Bacterial small subunit ribosomal RNA", at positions 28 to 507 of the family's 1533-position model. The record is from RNAcentral.